RNAcentral lists this ribosomal RNA (445 nucleotides) under uncultured bacterium. RNAcentral describes it as "bacterial SSU rRNA". It matches the Rfam family "Bacterial small subunit ribosomal RNA", at positions 73 to 507 of the family's 1533-position model. The record is from RNAcentral.
GUAUUUUCAACAUUGCAAUGAGUGGCGAACGGGUGAAGUAACACGGUGGAAACCUACCUCUUAGCAGGGAUAACAUUUGGAACAAAUGCUAAUACCGUAUAAUAAUUAAAACCGCAUGGUUUUAGUUUAAAAGAUGGUCUUGCUAUCACUAAGAGAUGGUCCCGCGGUGUAUUAGUUAGUUGGUGAGGUAAUGGCUCACCAAGACAAUGAUACAUAGCCGAGUUGAGAGACUGACCGGCCACAAUGGGACUGAGACACGGCCCAUACUCCUACGGGAAGCAGCAGUAGGGAAUCAUCCACAAUGGACGAAAGUCUGAUGGAGCAACGCCGCGUGUGUGAUGAAGGGUUUCGGCUCGUAAAACACUGUUGUAAGAGAAGAAUGACAUUGAGAGUAACUGUUCAAUGUGUGACGGUAUCUUACCAGAAAGGAACGGCUAAAUACGUG